UGGGGAAUCUUGCGCAAUGGGCGAAAGCCUGACGCAGCAACGCCGCGUGAGCGAAGAAGGCCUUCGGGUUGUAAAGCUCUGUCAGGGGGAAAGAAGGCACCUGGGUUAAUAGCCCAAGGGUUGACGGUACCCCCAAAGGAAGCCACGGCUAACUACGUGCCAGCAGCCGCGGUAAUACGUAGGUGGCAAGCGUUGUCCGGAAUCAUUGGGCGUAAAGAGCGCGUAGGUGGCUUGUCAGGUCUGAUGUGAAAUUUCGGGGCUCAACCCCGAACCUGCAUCGGAAACCGGCUUGCUAGAGUCUGGGAGAGGAGAGUGGAAUUCCUGGUGUAGCGGUGAAAUGCGUAGAUAUCAGGAGGAACACCGGUAGCGAAGGCGGCUCUCUGGAACAGUACUGACGCUGAGGCGCGAAAGCUAGGGGAGCAAACAGG
This 428-nucleotide ribosomal RNA is filed under the name uncultured Actinomycetes bacterium. RNAcentral describes it as "bacterial SSU rRNA". It matches the Rfam family "Bacterial small subunit ribosomal RNA", at positions 355 to 776 of the family's 1533-position model. Lineage: Bacteria; Bacillati; Actinomycetota; Actinomycetes. The record is from RNAcentral.